GCCGUUUUGGAAAAUUGUUUUAGAAAAUCUUUUCAGCCUUAACCAAAUGGGAAACUGAUUUAGCAAUUUCAAUUCCAUUUAAUAGUUGGUGUAAAUCCUUUAUGAGGACUAAAAAAACCAUUCAUUGCCUGAAUAUUCUAGAGACUUUUACUAAAAUAUUGUACAGAUGGUACUUGGUACCGUCUAGACUUGCUAAAAUUUCCAUUACUAAUCCAUCUAAUUGUUGGCGGUGUCAACACCCAGAUGGCUCUAUGUUUCAUAUAUGGUGGAC
Molecule: non-coding RNA, 271 nt
Organism: Pelobates cultripes (western spadefoot toad)
Lineage: Eukaryota; Metazoa; Chordata; Amphibia; Anura; Pelobatidae
Source: the annotation of a GenBank genome assembly